Molecule: ribosomal RNA, 497 nt
Filed under: uncultured bacterium
Lineage: Bacteria
Description: partial 16S ribosomal RNA
Rfam family: Bacterial small subunit ribosomal RNA
Source: RNAcentral
GAUGAACGCUGGCGGCGUGCCUAAUACAUGCAAGUCGAGCGAACAGAUGAGGAGCUUGCUCCUCUGACGUUAGCGGCGGACGGGUGAGUAACACGUGGAUAACCUACCUAUAAGACUGGGAUAACUUCGGGAAACCGGAGCUAAUACCGGAUAAUAUAUUUUACCGUAUGGUUCAUUAGUGAAAGACGGUUUUGCUGUCACUUAUAGAUGUAUCCGCGCCGCAUUAGCUAGUUGGUAAGGUAACGGCUUACCAAGGCAACGAUGCGUAGCCGACCUGAGAGGGGGAUCGGACAAGUGAGAACGGAAACACGGCACAGACUCCAACGGGAGGCAGCAGUAGGGAAACGAACGCAAGGGGAGAAAGCCUGACGGAGAAACGCCGCGUGAGUGAUAAAGGUAAGCGGAUCGUAAAACUCUGUUAUUAGGGAAGAACAAAUGUGUAAGUAACUAUGCACGUAUUGACGGUACCUAAUCAGAAAGCCACGGCUAACUACGUG